Molecule: small nuclear RNA, 107 nt
Filed under: Sciurus vulgaris (Eurasian red squirrel)
Lineage: Eukaryota; Metazoa; Chordata; Mammalia; Rodentia; Sciuridae
Source: RNAcentral
GUGCUUGCUUUGGCAGCACAUACACUAAAAGUGGAAUGAUACAGAGAAGAUUAGCAUGGCCCCUGUGCAAAGAUAACAGGCAAAUUCAUGAAGCAUUCCAUAUUUUU